GAGAGGGAGGCCAAGAGGUCUCGAGAGUUGGGCCAUUUCUCUAGUGCAUGCGCCCAGCUGCAGGUUGUCAUGGAAGGGGUUAUAUGAGUCACCCUAUUCAUUCAGCUCUUCCAGCAGCCAGUGGUAUUCCAACAGCCUUAUUAUGCACCUCCAAUUUCUAGUGCGCCUUCUGUGCGGGGUGAUUUUAGAGAUUAGUCCAGCAGACCUGGAUCGAGCCAAUCACAACCACCACGUCCUCCCAGAGCUUGUUUUGAGUGUGGUGACACAUGCCAUGUGGUGAGGCAUUUCCUUAGACUUGGGAGGAGUGCACCUCUACAGACUUCUCA
Molecule: long non-coding RNA, 326 nt
Filed under: Nicotiana benthamiana
Lineage: Eukaryota; Viridiplantae; Streptophyta; Magnoliopsida; Solanales; Solanaceae
Description: long non-coding RNA (NBEN_LNC029075)
Source: RNAcentral